GAUGCAACGCGAAGAACCUUACCUACUCUUGACAUCCAGAGAACUUAGCAGAGAUGCUUUGGUGCCUUCGGGAACUCUGAGACAGGUGCUGCAUGGCUGUCGUCAGCUCGUGUUGUGAAAUGUUGGGUUAAGUCCCGCAACGAGCGCAACCCUUAUCCUUUGUUGCCAGCGGUCCGGCCGGGAACUCAAAGGAGACUGCCAGUGAUAAACUGGAGGAAGGUGGGGAUGACGUCAAGUCAUCAUGGCCCUUACGAGUAGGGCUACACACGUGCUACAAUGGCAUAUACAAAGAGAAGCGACCUCGCGAGAGCAAGCGGACCUCAUAAAGUAUGUCGUAGUCCGGAUUGGAGUCUGCAACUCGACUCCAUGAAGUCGGAAUCGCUAGUAAUCGUGGAUCAGAAUGCCACGGUGAAUACGUUCCCGGGCCUUGUACACAC
This 437-nucleotide ribosomal RNA is filed under the name uncultured bacterium. Its description in RNAcentral is "bacterial SSU rRNA". It matches the Rfam family "Bacterial small subunit ribosomal RNA", at positions 953 to 1390 of the family's 1533-position model. The record is from RNAcentral.